AUGGACAAUAUGGACAAUAUGGACAAUAUGGACACCACAUUUUAUCAUGGAGGUGAAAAAACUCCCCAUUUGAUUUUCUGUUCCAUAAGGAUAAGACCAGGAAGGAGAAAAGCACUAGGCUGACAGGAGAGGAGGAACCACUGCACCAUCUGCAGGCUCUGACUCAUCCAUCUGCCUUCCUCUGAGCAGCGACUAAUUCUGGG
Molecule: long non-coding RNA, 203 nt
Organism: Cyprinodon tularosa
Lineage: Eukaryota; Metazoa; Chordata; Actinopteri; Cyprinodontiformes; Cyprinodontidae
Exons: 3
Source: RefSeq, a predicted model, not a curated record